CGCGAGGCUGGCAGACCUGGCUCCCUCUUACCACCCUGCUGCUCCUCCGUGUGCUGCACGGUGCUUGGAGUUCGACCUGGCCUUUUAGAUGUUUCUGGAGCCGGACUGACCGGAAGAGGAGGCGUGGUUGCAGAGAGCCGGCAGAAGGAGCCAGGCUCCCUGGCAGCAUAUAGAGAGGCGGUGGGGCCAAGGGCAGCCUUCACGGGACAUUCAACAGCAAAGCCAAGUGCUGCUCCUUGGCAGUUGCAGGCGCAGUCAGGACCCGCCCCCACUUCUGAUCAGAAACCAGGGAGACGGUGCCCUGUGGCUUGAGGACAACUGGUCGGCUCCCCCAAGGUGAAAGUCAGCCCCUGACCCUCCCAGCCUAUUGCCUUCCGCCUGGUGCUCUUCCACAGGCAGUUCUGCGGUGCAGCUUUGGCCACACUUUGAACUGGUCUCAGGAGAGAUGAACCACAAGCUUCACACUUGGCGCUGCCCCAUGGACCAGGGCCACCACCUUUGGUCUAGGCGCCCUGGGCCACAAGGGAACCUGGGUGGAGAGGAGAGUGCAGGAAGUAUUCUGCAAGAAAGGCUUGCAUUCAAGGAGACACUAUGUCUUCCAACCAAUGCCCAUUGACCAUGCAGUGAAACAAAGAGGCAUGAUCACUGCAACAAGGAACCUCUCACAUGUGCUGCCUGUGAAUGUGCAUCAUGCAACAAAGGACCUAAAAUCCUAGGUUAGAUCAGGUGAGUAUCUUCGAGUCCCAGAGAAUCUGAGACAGUCCCUGCCCUUGGACCCUCUGCACAUCAAGGCAGGCAGAGUCUGGCUGCUUCACUUGAAAUGCAAGUCUCCCAAAGCAUGGCCCCACUUAAUCUUCUCCCUAAAGCCUGCAUCAGACCUUUAGAGGACCUAUUCUCUGGUACACUUUUGGUGUAUUCACUAUAUUCGCUUCUGUCUUCCACAGAAGUCAGUAUACGACGCUAUUAAAAACCUGACCCAAGAACUUCUGUAUGACGUGGGCAUGGACAGAAAUUUCUUUUUUUAAAAACCCAUAAGAAAAGUGUAAGGAAGUCCAACUUUGUUCUGGUUUUCCUUGUGUCUUCUUGAUGCUGUUUUUAGAAGAUCAAAUAAUAAAUUCUUUUUUUUUUUACUUUUUUUUUUUUUU
Molecule: long non-coding RNA, 1145 nt
Filed under: Sus scrofa (pig)
Lineage: Eukaryota; Metazoa; Chordata; Mammalia; Artiodactyla; Suidae
Description: lncRNA (ENSSSCG00070017272.1)
Source: RNAcentral